GGCAGAACAAUGGAAGAUUUAAAGUUUUCAACGAGAAUUUCCCCCCAAACAUUAGGAAGAAUAAUUCCAGAGACCUGCUCAGCUAUUGUCAAGGCCUUGAAUGACUAUUGCAAGGUACCGAAUACAGCCGAGGAGUGGAAACAAAUUGCACAGGAGUACGGG
Long non-coding RNA from Homalodisca vitripennis (glassy-winged sharpshooter), 162 nucleotides. RefSeq lists it as uncharacterized. The record is from RefSeq and is a predicted model, not a curated record. The transcript has 2 exons. Lineage: Eukaryota; Metazoa; Arthropoda; Insecta; Hemiptera; Cicadellidae.